RNAcentral lists this ribosomal RNA (493 nucleotides) under uncultured bacterium. Its description in RNAcentral is "partial 16S ribosomal RNA". It matches the Rfam family "Bacterial small subunit ribosomal RNA", at positions 28 to 506 of the family's 1533-position model. The record is from RNAcentral.
GACGAACGCUGGCGGCGUGUUUAACACAUGCAAGUCGAACGGUGAAGCGCCUUCCUUUUUGGUGGGUGUGGAUGAGUGGCGAACGGGUGAGUAACACGUGAGUAACCUGCCCCCUUCUUCUGGAUAACCGCAUGAAAGUGUGGCUAAUACGGGAUAUUCUGGGUCUGUCGCAUGAUGGGUCUGGGAAAGAUAUUGUUUCGGUGGGGGAUGGGCUCGCGGCCUAUCAGCUUGUUGGUGGGGUGAUGGCCUACCAAGGCGGUGACGGGUAGCCGGCCUGAGAGGGUGGACGGUCACACUGGGACUGAGACACGGCCCAGACUCCUACGGGAGGCAGCAGUGGGGAAUAUUGCACAAUGGGCGCAAGCCUGAUGCAGCGACGCCGCGUGAGGGAUGGAGGCCUUCGGGUUGUGAACCUCUUUCGCCAGUGAAGCAGGCCUGCCUCGUUUGUGGGUGGGUUGACGGUAGCUGGAUAAGAAGCGCCGGCUAACUACGU